This 800-nucleotide ribosomal RNA is filed under the name uncultured bacterium. Its description in RNAcentral is "bacterial SSU rRNA". It matches the Rfam family "Bacterial small subunit ribosomal RNA", at positions 8 to 821 of the family's 1533-position model. The record is from RNAcentral.
AGAGUUUGAUCCUGGCUCAGGAUCAACGCUGGCGGCGUGCCUCAGACAUGCAAGUCGAACGAUUAAGACUUCCUUCGGGAAGUGCAUAAAGUGGCGCACGGGUGAGUAACACGUAAGUAAUCUACCCUCGAGUGGGGAAUAACGUUCGGAAACGGACGCUAAUACCGCAUAACGCAGCGGCACCGCAAGGUGACAGUUGUUAAAGGAGCAAUCCGCUUGAGGAGGAGCUUGCGGCAGAUUAGCUAGUUGGUAGGGUAAUGGCUUACCAAGGCUACGAUCUGUAUCCGGUCUAAGAGGACGGUCGGACACACUGACACUGAAUAACGGGUCAGACUCCUACGGGAGGCAGCAGUCGGGAAUUUUGGGCAAUGGGCGAAAGCCUGACCAGCAACGCCGCGUGAAGGAUGAAGUAUUUCGGUAUGUAAACUUCGAAAGAAUAGGAAGAAUAAAUGACGGUACUAUUUAUAAGCUCCGGCUAACUACGUGCCAGCAGCCGCGGUAAUACGUAGGGAGCAAGCGUUGUUCGGAUUUACUGGGCGUAAAGGGCGCGUAGGCGGCGCGGUAAGUCACUUGUGAAAUCUCUGAGCUUAACUCAGAACGGCCAAGUGAUACUGCAGUGCUAGAGUGCAGAAAGGGCAAUCGGAAUUCUUGGUGUAGCGGUGAAAUGCGUAGAUAUCAAGAGGAACACCUGAGGCGAAGGCGGGUUGCUAGGCUGACACUGACACUGAGGCGCGAAAGCCAGGGGAGCAAACGGGAUUAGAUACCCCGGUAGUCCUGGCCCUAAACGAUGAAUACUUGGU